UACGUAGGGCGCAAGCGUUGUCCGGAAUUAUUGGGCGUAAAGGGCUCGUAGGCGGUUCGUCACGUCGGGAGUGAAAACUCGGGGCUUAACCCCGAGCCUGCUUCCGAUACGGGCAGACUAGAGGUAGGCAGGGGAGAGCGGAACUCCUGGUGUAGCGGUGGAAUGCGCAGAUAUCAGGAAGAACACCGGUGGCGAAGGCGGUUCUCUGGGCCUUACCUGACGCUGAGGAGCGAAAGCGUGGGGAGCAAACAGG
RNAcentral lists this ribosomal RNA (253 nucleotides) under uncultured bacterium. RNAcentral's name for it is "partial 16S ribosomal RNA". It matches the Rfam family "Bacterial small subunit ribosomal RNA", at positions 524 to 776 of the family's 1533-position model. The record is from RNAcentral.